GUAUUGACUAAAACACGUGCCAGCAGUCGCGGUAACACGGGACAUACGAGUGUUAUUCAUCUUUAAUAGGUUUAAAGGGUACCUAGACGGCAGAAUUAGCCCCCACUGAGCUGGAAAGGUACAAUUUUGCUAGAGUUUUAUAUGAGAGGGAUUUAGUACUAACAGAGUAGAGAUGAAAUUUUUUGAUACUGUAGGGCACUGAUAAUGGCGAAGGCAGACCUUUAUGUAAAAACUGACGUUGAGGGACGAAGGCUUGGGUAACAAACAGGAUUAGGUACCCUAAUAGUCCAGGCAGAGACUGAUGAGUGCCAUAGAUUAGAAUAUAUUUGAUCUAUAAAUGAAAGUGGAAGCACUCCACCUUAAGAGUAAUGCGGCAACGCCGGAACUGAAAUCAUUAGACCGUUUCUGAUACCAGUAGUGAAGUAUGUUGUUCAAUUCGAUGAUCCACGAAAAAUCUUACCACAAUUUGAAUAUUAUAGCAACUAUAGG
RNAcentral lists this ribosomal RNA (489 nucleotides) under Arthonia coreana. RNAcentral's name for it is "SSU rRNA". It matches the Rfam family "Bacterial small subunit ribosomal RNA", at positions 488 to 1003 of the family's 1533-position model. The record is from RNAcentral. Lineage: Eukaryota; Fungi; Ascomycota; Arthoniomycetes; Arthoniales; Arthoniaceae.